GACGAACCGUGCGAACGUUGUUCGGAAUCACUGGGCUUAAAGGGCGCGUAGGCGGGCCUUCAAGUCCGGGGUGAAAUCCUCCAGCCUAACUGGAGAAGAGCCUCGGAGACUGAGGGCCUCGAGGGAGGUAGGGGCAAGCGGAACUAUGGGUGGAGCGGUGAAAUGCAUUGAUAUCCAUAGGAACUCCGGUGGCGAAGGCGGCUUGCUGGACCUCUUCUGACGCUGAGGCGCGAAAGCCAGGGGAGCAAACGGG
This 253-nucleotide ribosomal RNA is filed under the name uncultured bacterium. RNAcentral's name for it is "partial 16S ribosomal RNA". It matches the Rfam family "Bacterial small subunit ribosomal RNA", at positions 524 to 776 of the family's 1533-position model. The record is from RNAcentral.